Bombina bombina (fire-bellied toad) is the source of this 167-nucleotide long non-coding RNA. RefSeq lists it as uncharacterized. Lineage: Eukaryota; Metazoa; Chordata; Amphibia; Anura; Bombinatoridae. The record is from RefSeq and is a predicted model, not a curated record. The transcript has 3 exons.
UUAUUUCAGGAAGAAGACACCCUGCCACCUCGGAAUCUGGCACUGGCGCUUGAGGAGAUAUUGGAAUAUAAUCAGGACAAGGGCAUUACCCUACAGAAGAAAGCCAGCCAAGUGCCCCGGUGUGAUGUCGGGGAACGCUGUGCAAUGAAGCAUGGACCUCGGAUUGG